AGCUAAUUUUUGUAUUGUUAGUAAAGAUGGGAUUUCACCAUAUUGGUCAGGCUGGUCUUGAACUCCUGACCUCAAGUGAUCCACCCACCUCAGCCUCCCAAAGUCACCGGCCAGGAGCUGCUUUUUAUUAAAGGAAAAUUCCACCGAGAACUCUUUUACCCUUUCUAGCUGCCUAAAAGUAAUUUCUCAACUCCUGUGUGAUGUGUGAGAAUUCCAUAAACUACGAAACUAUACAAACAUAAAUAAGGUUUAAUUACAUAUGGCAAACUCUACACAUUUAAGGUGUUAUUUUGGAGCAUCAGUGUAUCAAGCAAGAAAAGGUUCUAAACUUGAACUGUGAUUUCAAGGCAAGGCAAAACAAAUAUUACAUAAGGUAUCAGGUACAAAGCAGUGUCAUGAAAAUGAGCAUAUCUGAACAAAAGCUGUGACAGAAUUAAGGCCAGAUAACCUAUCAUAAAUGUAUAGAAUGAACAGAACAGCCCGGUUUUAGGAAAGGACUUCCCAGGGAGGUUUAGUAAGCCAGCUGGGAGAAAGGAAAAAAAACGUAUUUUUAGGGAGGGAUAGGGACGCUCCCAUUGUGCAAGAAGGAAGUAUAGCCGGUUAACAGCUCCAUCAAGUUCUACUAGAAGGAGUGCCUAUGUAAAUGAAAUUCUGCUUUUAAAGUGCCUAUUAUAUAAAGGUCUCUAGAAAACUCAAGCCCUGUUCUACAAGCCCUAGCAGCCUGACAAUUCACUAAGCAUAGGAGAAGGGAAAAAAAAGUAGGAAAAAAGUGUGGAAGCCCCUUUCUUCCUUUGUAAUAUGAAUGUUUGGCUAUAUUUAAGAUAAAUACCACAUAAAUAAUUGCUAAACGUGAAUUCUGUUUUUCUAAGUUUUAACAAAAUAUGCAAAGAACAAAGACCACCAAUGAAAGUGGAUGGGAACAUACGUAUUCUACACACAGUUCCAUUUUGGAAGGUUCUAGGGCCUAUUGAAAUUGGGUGUUUAAAAAAAAAAGAUAACACAGGAAAAUUAUUGUAGUUUACCUCUGUCUCCUACAAGCUGAUGUAUUUGGCAGGGUUACUAUUUCCCAGGGCAAAGCAGGUCUUUUUUUUCACGUUUUGACUAACGAACUAGAGGCUACUGCAAAGAAAGAAGAAAAAGAACAGUAUUAACGCAUUUAUUUGCACAGCACCCCAAUCUUGACCCUCAAUUUUUUCAAUCGCCCCCACAAAUAAAGCCCGGCUGUUUAGACCUGGUGAACCGCCAGGAGCCUGGAGCUCUUUGUAUUAAGCAGCUUCUCGGUUAGGGCGCCCUCCCCCGGCGCCAUGCAACCAAACGCUGGCGGCGCGCUGUAACCUAAGGCCCACACCCGUCUUUUCUUUUCUAGGGGAUGUGGAGACGCUGGUAGCGGGGCCAGGAAGGCUCCGGACGGAGCAGGUUUUCUGGACCACAGACACACUGCCCCGGCGCCCUCCGCAGGCCGCUCCUCCCCAGGCCCAUGACAGUGCCCCGCUGGUUUCUGCCGCGCUGCCGGACUGGAGCUCAGACGGCCUUCGCCAGCCCCCCCAACCCACGCAGAUCCCUGCUGACCUGGGCAACUCCCCACCCUCGCUGAAGGUUCGAGGACCACCCCGCUUUCCCGAGAGGAGCCGGGCGGCGGGUACUUAUCUCCGACCUCCGGCUAGUGGGAAAGGCCGCGCGACCGCCCGUCCUCCAACUACAGGGACCGCACGAACAGCGACUGGGAAACUGCCACUAGAAAAAGAUGACUGUCCAACUAAAACCUGCAUACACAGCUACAUCCUUCCCUGGAAGAGCACAGUGGAACUAGAUCCUAGUACAGAUAGCACAGGGAUUGUCAACAUUCUUGUCACACUGAAAUUUCCUUCUACUGAUCUCCAAGUAAGUAACUAACAGCUGAAACUUGGAAUUUAUAUAUCAGCACAGCACGAAGACUAUAGAUAUAUCUAGUCUUAUGUAAGUU
RNAcentral lists this long non-coding RNA (1963 nucleotides) under Homo sapiens (human). RNAcentral's name for it is "HSALNT0373352". The record is from RNAcentral. Lineage: Eukaryota; Metazoa; Chordata; Mammalia; Primates; Hominidae.